RNAcentral lists this ribosomal RNA (468 nucleotides) under uncultured bacterium. RNAcentral describes it as "partial 16S ribosomal RNA". It matches the Rfam family "Bacterial small subunit ribosomal RNA", at positions 28 to 507 of the family's 1533-position model. The record is from RNAcentral.
GACGAACGCUGGCGGCGUGCUUAACACAUGCAAGUCGAACGGAAAGGCCCUGCUUUUGUGGGGUGCUCGAGUGGCGAACGGGUGAGUAAAACGUGAGUAACCUGCCCUUGACUUUGGGAUAACUUCAGGAAACUGGGGCUAAUACCCGAUAGGAGCUCCUGCUGCAUGGUGUGGGUUGGAAAGUUUCGGCGGUUGGGGAUGGACUCGCGGCUUAUCAGCUUGUUGGUGGGGUAGUGGCUUACCAAGGCUUUGACGGGUAGCCGGCCUGAGAGGGUGACCGGCCACAUUGGGACUGAGAUACGGACCAGACUCCUACGGGAGGCAGCAGUGGGGAAUAUUGCACAAUGGGCGGAAGCCUGAUGCAGCAACGCCGCGUGCGGGAUGACGGCCUUCGGGUUGUAAACCGCUUUCGCCUGUGACGAAGAGUGAGUGACGGUAAUGGGUAAAGAAGCACCGGCUAACUACGUG